UGGGGAAUAUUGGACAAUGGGCGAAAGCCUGAUCCAGCCAUGCCGCGUGUGUGAAGAAGGUCUUCGGAUUGUAAAGCACUUUAAGUUGGGAGGAAGGGCAUUAACCUAAUACGUUAGUGUUUUGACGUUACCGAAAGAAUAAGCACCGGCUAACUCUGUGCCAGCAGCCGCGGUAAUACAGAGGGUGCAAGCGUUAAUCGGAAUUACUGGGCGUAAAGCGCGCGUAGGUGGUUUGUUAAGUUGGAUGUGAAAGCCCCGGGCUCAACCUGGGAACUGCAUCCAAAACUGGCAAGCUAGAGUACGGUAGAGGGUGGUGGAAUUUCCUGUGUAGCGGUGAAAUGCGUAGAUAUAGGAAGGAACACCAGUGGCGAAGGCGACCACCUGGACUGAUACUGACACUGAGGUGCGAAAGCGUGGGGAGCAAACA
Molecule: ribosomal RNA, 427 nt
Filed under: uncultured bacterium
Lineage: Bacteria
Description: partial 16S ribosomal RNA
Rfam family: Bacterial small subunit ribosomal RNA
Source: RNAcentral